Long non-coding RNA from Parus major (Great Tit), 4909 nucleotides. RefSeq lists it as uncharacterized. The record is from RefSeq and is a predicted model, not a curated record. The transcript has 2 exons. Lineage: Eukaryota; Metazoa; Chordata; Aves; Passeriformes; Paridae.
CGAUGAACUCCGACACGGUGAUCUGGUCCGGCAUGAUCCUGCCCCACCGGUAAAGCCCAGGAGAAGCCGGGCACACAGAUCCGGAGAGAGGGGAAGCCCAGUUCCGCGGGGAAAGCUUAGGUUUGGGGUCCCAUAUGUUCCUUUCUAAAGAAGGCUAAGUCUCAGGAGGCUCAAGUAAUUGUGGUCAUCUGCUGCAUCAAUGUGAUUUAUUUAGCCAUACUGUGUGAUUUCCUCCUCCUUGUAUUUGGGAUUCUUUCCACAGAAGCUGGGACAUUCAGGAAUGGUAAACAUUCUCAAAUCUGAACAACUGAGAAUGAACAAUAUUAUACGGCUGUAUCCAUUUCAAAAGAUUUUAUGUUCUCUGUAUAAGCACCUACCACAUUAUAAUCCAGUUAGGCUUGUACAUUUUUUUGUAUGUAAUUCUAAUAAAAUGUCUAUGCAAUUCAAAAAUAGUUGACGGUAUCAGCUAAAAACUGCAAUGAUUGCAUACGGAUAAAAAGGAGAUACCUGAUUUGAGUAUACCCAUAAAAAACUAUUUCUAUGCAGUUCUGCCAGCAAAAAUAUGACCAAUACUCCUGAGCAAUGGUCCUGCCUGAACAUGUUUCUGUGAUUUCACUGCCUUAGCAGAAGCCCUCCAUAUGGCCAUGUGAUUGCUGCUGCUGCUGCUUCACGUGAUCCAGCGUUCUGGCACAAAGGCUCUGAGCUCGUACAGAUGAUUGUUAAACGUCAUGAGACUGUGAAAGGUAGAGUAGGCAAGAGGAGGAGGAAGCCAAGAAAAGAAUUGUGUGGGAGUUGCACUGAAAAAUGGAUCUGGGCAAAAAAAAUGAAGCACUGAAGAAGCAACGGGAGAGGCAGGAAGAAAAUUGAUGAUGGUGUUCAUAAAAGCAGUGGAGGAGGAAGAGAGACCAAGAAGAUAAAAAUGGUUGGUGGCAUGAAAACAGUAUGGAAAGAAGAGUAAAGAACUGGCUGGGGGGUUGGGCCAGGGAAGAGCUGUUCGUAACAUUCAAAAGAGAUGUUUUGUCCUAGCCUGCUCGGAAGCUGGAUGGGUGAGGGCCAUGGCCCAAGGGCCAAGCAGGGUCUCUGUGGUCAUCCCCUGUAAUUUCCUGCCAAACAUCAAUCAUGGGCUAUCACACAGCUGUUCCUGGGCCAGACUGGUGGUCUGCACGUCAGCCACAGUGUUCACAUUAGGAAGAUUCCUGAUCCCUCGCUGUCAGACUUCAAGUGACGAUAAAUGCAUCACACUGAUGGACAAACUGGUUUAAUUAAUUGGGAACUCUCACUGUUAGGGCUGAAUUGUUCUUCUUCAGGCUGAAGUUAUUGAGCUUGACCAUUAAUCUCUGGAUUGUAAAAUAACCUCAUCUGCUAUCUCAAACAAAUCCCCCCAGAAGCUGAACAUGCUGUUAAAGACCUAAUUUCUUUUAUACUAUUUUGUGAAAAUUUAAACUACAGAAUUGAAAAGAAUGUUCAAAUAAUAAAGGGAAUGGACAGGCCAGGGAAACGGUAGCAGAAGAGUGACAGAAGUGAAGGCAGAGCAGACAGUAAGUGCAGCUGAGCUUUUGUUUCCUCAUCAGGAAAAAAGUUGCCUUCUAAAAUGAUAUAUUAAAUGUAUAAGAAAUAGAAUAAAUACAGAAGAAUACUGGUAAGUAAAGACAAUGGCACAAGGCCUAAAAAUGAAAAAGGACGAUCGUAAUUGCCUCUUGGUCUGUUUUUGACAGUUCUGAAACUGUUUGCUCUGUCAGAGAGAAUACAGUGCUCUGUUUUGCAGCUUAGAAGCAGCAUUUCCCCUUCCCCUAUUCAAAUGUUAGUAGAGAAAAUAGCCCUAUAGGCAUGGCCUCUUUAGACUUGGAUUAUUUUCAUUUAAACUCACUGGAAGUACGAUCAGUUAACUAAUGUGAUGUUAAUAAAAAUAAAUUAUACAAGCUGCCUGUAAAAACUGUGCUAAUGUUUAAACUAGUCAAAUUAUGUAAGUAUUUCAAAUAGCAUUUAGUGAAUUUCAGAUUUAACCAUGUUUCCUGUUUUGAAUUGCAAUCAGUAUCUGAGAUUCAAUUCUAAAUUUGUCAGAUGCAUUUCUCUAUAAAUUGUCACUAACUGAAAUCACUGUUUCACUUCACAAAUGUCAAAGAAUAAUCAUCAGAGUGUGAAAGUUACAUUUCACAGCGUAUGCUGUAACGCUGUCUUAGUCUGUGCUAGAUCCUGGGUGAGGCUGUGCCACGGCCUUUUUCUCAUGGAAAGUUUGCCAAUGAAGUUCUGCUUUUCUCACUCCCCUUGGUAUUCUGAAAUGAAAUCUCCUUGUCCACCCUGGACAAGCUAAUGCCAGUGAGGAUCAUGCAAGCAGCACUGGAAAUCACUUGCUCCUUACUGCUGAUGCAUUGCAGUCAAGGAAGUUGUGGUGUCUUGUCAUCCCACUCAAUCCACCCAAUCCACUUGAUUCCCUGGCUUUUACUGUGAUUGCAAACAGAAGAGUUAAUUACAGCAAAUUGACAAUAAUUCUGCAGUACUGCUGAUAGUCACCAUGCUUAGGCAGAGGCUAAGGACCAGUGACAAACUACAGACACAGGUGUUGUGCAAUAAACUGAAUAGCAAUUAUAGUAUUUUUCAUUUUACAGUAUUUUAGAAAGCUUGUAUUUAGAUUGAGGUCAUCAGUUCACUCACAGGAGCUGAGCAGGAGUGAACAGGUGAUGAUGUAGCCAUCACUGUGAACUUUGCAGCAUGACCAGUAUGUACCAGAGGUGAAGAGUACAUGGCACUUGCAUAGCUCUUCACAUCAUCAAUGCAAUUAACUACUGGAGCCACACAGCACUGAGGUAGAGAACAGCAAGAUUAUCUUUCCACUACAGAUAAGGAGCCAGAUAGAUGAGCUUGUGGCCCUGCUGUGCUUGUGGCUGUCUAGCUUCAGUCAUGCAAAGUCAGCUCUUCAGGGUAUCAACACCUCAUCUGGGCUGAAGCUGGUGGUGAAUCUCCUGUGGGAUGUGAUUAUACUGCCUGCAGAGAGCAGCCCCAGGACUGCCCUGAGGUCAUGCUUUCCUGCUGCAUAGGAAGCAAACUCACAGAUGCAAACUCAGGUGUGGUUGCUGCUUGGUUUUUGGAAACAAGCUUGACCCAACUCCCUGGCUGUGCACCAGUGUGUUGUCAAGCAUGCUCAGACAAGCUGCCUCCAGGGCAAUUUGCAACCUCUCAGUGUGGCAGUGAAGUGAGUUGUUACCUGGAGAAGGAAAUCACUGCACACAUCGGUUCUGUGCAGUGACUCCUUUUGAUUAGUACAGGUGUAGUCAUGGCAGGAUCUCACAUGUCAAAUUCAGGGGGUUUUGAUUCUCAAGUAUGAACAGUGAUGAUGCCUUUUUGCAAAUACAGGUUUACAACUACACUCAUUUCUUGACUUGCAUGAUUCCCAUCUUGGCUAUUACUGCAGAUGAAAGUAGUGAUUUUAUAAUAUAAUAGACAGUAGUAUUUAUAAAAUACUAAAAUAAAAUAUUAAAUAAUUGAAAUGCACAUGCUUUUCUUAGUAAACAAUAUAGUUGUUCUUUUUAUGCUCCUUAGCCUCUCCACAAAUGUGGAGAGUGUCACGAGCUUAGCAGCAAAUAGCAAUAGAAGUAGUGGUGUGCUAAAAUUCAUCAGGAAAAUAUCCCUAGGCUAUGUUUUUCUACUACACUACUAUCCUGGAUACGUUUGUGGUUUGGUGUUAGAUUCAUCCAUUUCAGCUAAACACAACAGUCAGCAGUACUUCCCAUCCUCCUCCUCCUGAUCCUAGCUCACUUUAUGAGAUCAUUGUAUAACAUCAGAUAUCCAUGGAUUUGAUACCUGAUAAAGCUGAUUUGAAGUUCCCUGAGAAAAUAUCUAUAUGGUAAAUUGCUGUUCCUACAUUUUUAUAGUUUUACUUUCAGACAAUUCUGACAAAAUUAAUGAGAAAGGCUUAUUUAAAUUUAUGGUCAUAAGUACUAGAAUAUCUACAAAUAUUUCUGAAUAUCAGCUCUUCUCAUUUGAGUUGGAUGCUGGGCUUAGAAGACAAAAGAAGCUUCAAAUCAACAAGAAUCUCAGCAGGAUGCGUUAUGCUUUUGGUUUUGGAAUAUCUCAUGUGCUAUAACUCGGUAAACUUUUUUUGUUAAUGGAACUCUCAUGGUUUUGUUUUGCUAAGCAAAACCACCCCAUUUAUGUAAGGACAAGUAACAUCAUCACUUUGUACUUCAGCGGGAAAUGUUUAGUCAGGAGGCGUUUCACCUCCAGGAGCUGUGUCCUCUCAGAGGACAGUCAGACGGCUGACAGCCUUCUACAAAAUGUAACAACUAUGUAUUUUAACCUGCAGUGUGUUUACACGUUUAAUAUCACAUAAGUGCAUGAUGUACUUACAGGAAAAGGCAAAAUCUAUUUUAAACACUGAAGCCUACAUCACACAUUGUGACUGGUGCUAAUUUGCUCUAAGGGAACUUAGAUGGUGAACUGCAGUGGUUCUGCUUGAGAAAGAAGGCUGUUAGCUUUGACAUUUGCAAACAAACCUUUGAAAUGAUUGUGUUACUGGGACAGAAUAGUCAGGUUAACUUUCAAGUAAAAGAAACCUUCUUGCCUAUGUUGCACUGCUGAACAUGAAGAAGACCAAAAUCCAGGUCCAGCAAACAUGCUUACUGCAAUUCUGUGUUUUUUAAGAGACAAUAUCUGCCAGUGUGGCUUAUGAAGUACAUGAACUGUGUCAAAAAUUUGUGCUGCUGCUGUGACUGUUUUGAAUACAAGAAUCAGCUGACUUCAAUUUUAAUAUUGGCAUCUCCCAGCAUUUGUCUUCAUCUGGUAUUUAAAAUGAGAUACGAAAUGUCUCAGAAACUACAUGUUAUUUUAAAAACCUUUUAGCACUUACAAUAGUGGCUUAAACAGAAGGUUCUUUUUGCAUUCUUUCAAUAUUAAAAUGAUUUGCAAAAAGAGA